CGCCUGAUUCUACGUUCUCAUGAGUACGAGGGGUACUCAGCGAUACGGAAAUUAUAGAAGGGGUACACAUAUGUCAAAAGUUUGGGAAACACUAAGAUGAGCGAGAGUUUGGAAUCACCGUUAGGGUCUCGGGGUCCGGCAAGGGCCUGGCGUUGGGGAGGGACCCCUGGCACCUGCUCUGAGGUUCCUGCUCCUGGUUUUCUGGGCUCAGAGGUGGCCCGUCUGCGCCGUAGCCGCUGCAUGGAGACGCGUGUAGCCAGAUACCAGCCAGUCCCGACCUGGCUUUGGGGCCGGGGCUGAGCCGCCGUGCCCCACGAAAGCCCUGGCGUUUGAGCGUUUGCUCUAACUUGGUGCUUUUUUUUUUCCUUUUUAGCUUUGGCUCCUGGUGCUCAGAGAGCCACCACUUCCUGCCCAGCUGGUUCAUUACCGCAGGGAAAAUGAGGGACUUUUGGGGGCAGAUGUGUUUCCAUUCCACUAUCAUAAUGCCCCUAAAAAUCCUUAUUGCUCUUGCAGUAUUCCUCGGGGGCCCCAGGCCGGCCCCGGACAGCUGGGAAGAUGGCAGGUCUGAGUUCCUCCAGCAACGAAGGGAAGAGAGGAAAUGCUCUCCCCCUCCCACCCCUACCCUACACUCUCCUCUGGUGCCUGCCGCCCCCUGCAGACACGGGUGGCUGCGCGUGCUGUUUGCCCCGCAGGGACGGCGUGUGGGAGCUCAGGCCUGGGGAACGGGGUGGCUGGGCCUACUGUCUGCAUCUGCAGUGGGGUUCCUGGCAGGGGACGAGGGGGUGGGGGAAGUGGGGAAGAAACAGGUGCUACCUGUUGGACAAGGUGAGUUUCACACUCUGCAGCCUGGUGUCUUCCGGCAGGCCCUCUGGGAUCCUCGCCUUGGCACGGGCCCUGGGCAGCGCUGGCGUGCUCACCUGCAGCCCGAGCCAGAUCGCUUUCCCACUCCCUGCCUCGGUUUCCCUGCCCGCCUGGGAGGGGCAGCAGCCCCGGCUCCGGUCUCAAAGGGGUCUUGGUUGUUCCCAAAGUGGCAGCGACCAGCUGCGCAGGCGCUCUGAACACGGAGCAGUGCGCACAUUCAGCGUGGAAGGCAUGGGUGCGAGCGUGUAUGUACUCACACGUGCCGGAUAUGCCAAGACGGCUGGGGGGGCGGGGGGGCUGCAGCCCACACGAGCGCUGGUUUCUGGAAUCAGUGUCACCCCAGGCAAGUGAUUCCAUCACUCUGAGCUCCCCUGUCUCACAGAUGAAACCCAGUUACAGGAAUAAAGCUUCCCAAGUCCGAUGUGGCACCUGGCUAACUUAUUCUGAUAGGUACUUCUUGGAACAGCUCAUUUCUAUUCGUGGCAACUGAUUGGUUUUCAAUUUCAGGUUGAGACUGAAGCGCACGCCCCCCCCUCCCCCUUUUUUUUUUACAUCAAUGUAACUAAGAAAGGGUGAGUUGCUAGAAAGAAAAAUAUUAAACCAAGAAUACAGGCGGUAUGGAGGCUGGAGUGGAAGCCAAGAGGGUAGCUUGUAAAGUUUCCCGGGUCCACUUACGUUAGAGUUCUUUUUUGCUUUCGGGAUUUGUCAAGAUGACCCCGUGUAGGUGAGGUGGGGAGGGGUCAUCCUGGAAAACAAUGGCUACCGUCUGCAUUUGCAGUGGGACACACAGCCAGACACCCUGACAACCUGGGUGUCACGUGUCUUCCCUUGAUGGAGAGGGCCCGCCCCUUCCUUGCUCGCCAACAACAAGACCCCCUCAGACCCCGGCCGCUACACCCACCCCGUGGCUCUUAUUUACCUCUUAUCUUAGGACCGUGAUGCCCCCGCGCCCUCUUUCCCGGCCGAGGCACCUUCUCAGUGAAAUGGGGAGAAUAAUAAACCCUCUGAGCCAGAGCAGGGACCCAGUCGGGCAGCUCUGAGGGGUCCCAAAGGGCAGCAGCAGCCCUGGGAUGGACAUGGGGGCACAGCAGGACCCUCGGCUAACAGGUCCCCCUGUGCCUGGCCGGGCACCAGCUCCCCGCCCGCUCCUGGGACAGGGGCUUGGAGGGGAAGCAGUGAACACUGGAUCCCCGCUGGGCAGGGGCAGACUCCAGUUUCACUUUCUGCUGUGUCAUGGGGUGGGGGUGGCAGCGGGGCCCAGCUGGCCAGCUGGGGCGGGCACCUAGACAGCUGCCAGCCCAGCUGCCAGAGCACACCCCACACCCACUCCUGCCCAGCAGCCUGCCAGAAUAGGGGCUGGGCCCUGGGGCCACCCCUUAACUGCCUCUCCCCACAGAGAGGAUAGAAAAGCCAGGUGACGGGGUGACAUGGCUCCUGUUGAUUCUGGAUGAGAGCGCUCUGACCAGACCCCUCCUUCCUGCCUCCCUUCACUGGGCACUUGUCUGCUGAGGACCUACUGUGUGCCAAGCCCUGUGACAGGCGCUGGGGCACAGCAGGGGGUACGUGGGGAUCCCAGUCGAGUCGGGGUGGUGGUGGGGAGAUGGAUGAAAGAGUCAGCAAAGAAAGAAAGAAUCCCAUGUUGUGUGGGAAAUUCCACACUGCAGGCUUAGCGUGAGCAUCUCAGGGAGGGUCGUGCAUACAUGCCUGCAUUUGCACAUGUGCGUGUCAAUAAUGUGUCCGCUCCGGGGACACACAGCUAGCUGAAGAGCACAGACCUGGGGGCCAGAUGUCCCCUGUUUGAAUCUGGACUCUUCCACCAACUGCUGUGUGGCCUCAGGUGACCUCAGGCAAGUCCCCGCUCCUGAGCUCCCCUGGCUCCGGGCUGGAGUAAAAGUGUCUCCGUGACAGAGCUGCAGUGAGGAUGAAGCACGCGGACAUCCCUGAAGAACCGAGGCUAUCGACCAUGCGCUGUCUAUGUCUCAGCUCUUCUCUAAGAAUAAUCCACGUGCCCUGUUCUUCCAGGCGGCAGGGCGGCCGUCCCCGCAGGCUGAGGACACUGGUAAGACGCUACGGCCCACGGCCCUUCCAAAAGCUGGCAUCAUCCCCACACCGGUGAGCAGUGUGUGUGUGAGGGCGGCAGGGACCCCGCGUGUCAGGGGAGCCAAUCCUAAGUGAGGUAAGUAGACAUCCCAUGGCAGCCUGGAUGGGGCGGACCCAGCCUCUGAGGUCAUCCCCGGGGCUUUCUGAGGCCAUGAGCCACGCCGAGUUCUCGCCAGCUUGGGCUUUAUACACGCGGGCAGAGUGUGGGGAGGUGAGCAGGGACUGUUCAGGAAGAAGCAUUGUGUAGCCCGGUAUUUAUAACUUCAGAACUUAAAUAUGGACAAGACAUAUUUUUCUUCUAAUUUACACAAACAAAUAUGUUCCCGGGCUUGACACUUCUGGUGCCAAGUUUCUCGGGGAAAUGAAUUCGGCUGUGAGAUGACAAACCGCCAGGGAGCCGAGGGGGAUGGAAAAGCCGAGGCAAGUUCGCUCUCCGCAUGCAGAUCCGGGCUGCUGAGCGGUGUGGCUUUCUGUCUUAGCGGCAGAUAAACCUGCCGGCAAUUUCAGGGAACGAAAUGCAGAUCCCGCAAGGGCCAGAGGCUGGGAAACGCUCCGGUUUGGAUAAAAGGAGGUCUGCUCUGCCUCCAGCCCUCCCUCCUGCUGGCCUGGAGACGCAGAGAGGAGCUGAUGAAUCGAGGGAGGAGGAAGGAGGCCAGUGUGAGUGGCCCUUCAAGGGCUAUGCGAAUACAAACACCCCACAACCUGAAACCGUUCCAGGUGGGAUUAAAGCGGCACGUUAUUGUGAGUGAUUGCUUAAUUUAUUGAGCUGUGGCAAGAUCUGUAAUGAAAUACAGCCCUUGCAACUGAUAACCUCCUGCUGCAAUUGAACUUGACAAUGAAGGAAUAUUUUCCAAGGAUUUUUCUGGAACAGCUUAGAAUUUUUUUCUCUGUGGUAGGGUGCUUCUGAGCACUCAUUUUUCCAGUCAAGAGUUUUUAUUUUAUUUUUUUAUUUUUGGUGUUUGUUUUUUAGGCAUGAAAGGCUGAUGUUAAUCAGGAAAUAAGCGUCAUUUUAUCGAAUGCCUUGGGCGCACCAGGCACGUAUUACACUUUAUCUCUAAUCCUGACGACAGCCCAAUGAAGAAACUCUUAUUCGUCCCUAAUUGACAGAUACGAGGUUUCUAGGUGUUGAGUAACUUUCCCAAGUGGCGUUGUCCAAGUCUGUAGCUACUAGCCACGUGUGGCUAUUUAUGUCUAAAUUAAUUUUUAAAAAUUUUAAAAAUUCACUCCCUAGGUUGCACUGGUGCCCACUCCCCAGGUGUGGCUGGUGGGUGCCCCACUGGACAGCACCGACACAGGCCAUUUCGACAACGGUGGAAAGUUCCAGUGGUCAGUGCUGACCCAGAAUGUUUGCAGGUAGGACUCCAACCUGAGCCGUUGGCAGCACUGUUCUACCGUUACCCCUUGCUUCUCGCUUCUCUUCCUUGGGCUGAGAAGUGGGGACUAGAGCUGAGAUGUGAAACCCUGGCUGCACAUUCAAAUGACCGGGACUGCUCUAAAAAUAUUGAUGAUAUGGUCCCGGCCCUGGAGAUUCUGACCUAACUGUGACCAGGGGGGCGGGGGUAAGACAGGCUUGAGGGGCUUUAUAUUGUUACUUCCCCACGUGUCCAGCCAGGAUUGGGAGCAGCUAGAAGAGCUGGUCCACACACAGGAGGAUGGAAAGGACUCGUUCACCUCCCAGCAGAAUGGAGUCGCUGUGGACCCAGACGUGGGCUUCCUGGAGGGCUGCCUCUGAGCCUUGCAUCAAACAGCUCGAGCGGGUUCCUGUCUGCAGGCAGGAAAGCCUUGAGGUGCUUUCCCACAUGCUUCCGGCUCAUUGGAGACACAGCGGGGAGCUCUGCUUCCAGGAACAGGCCCGGUCACGCUGCCACGGGAGAAAGGAGACGGGACUGGAGACCACUGGGACGAAGUGGCGUCUGCAGCCCCGUCGUUGGCGUGGAGGCCUCGGGGUGAACCCACGCUGCCAUCGGCCUCACAGAAUGAAGGUGUUUCCCGGCUCUGCCCGCGGGAAGGGUUAGGAAUACGGACCAACUCCGUCACAGUGAGCACCGCCAGCACUCCCAUUAGGGUCUCUCCACACCACUUCUGACGAGAAACUGGGUUCUGUGCAGAGACAGCCGAUCCCAGGUCUGAGGCAGGACAUGUGCGAGAGGAGCCUAGAACGUCCCGUCACCCUGGGAGUGUGGGAGCUCUGGGAGACUCUGGGCCGUGUCCGGAAAGAUGAAGGGGACACUGUGAUAGGACGGCUGGCCAGGUGGGACAGCCGAGCAUCAAUAAGAAUAGUAACACACUGGACUGGAAUGUGUUACAGAUGUCCACACCUACGAGUUCACAAUGGUACCCUGUAAGAAAGCAAAAACUCAUUUGUCAUCUUUGGGGGAUGUUCAGAAACCAACUCAUCAUUUUGAAAACUGUCAAGUAAAAAGGAAAGAAUCAA
Pipistrellus kuhlii (Kuhl's pipistrelle) is the source of this 5395-nucleotide long non-coding RNA. RefSeq lists it as uncharacterized. The record is from RefSeq and is a predicted model, not a curated record. Lineage: Eukaryota; Metazoa; Chordata; Mammalia; Chiroptera; Vespertilionidae. The transcript has 2 exons.